AGUCUCUACAACACAAGUGCGGGCUGGUUCGCUUGCGAACCAGCCCGAGGAAAGUCCGAACACUCCCACAUUUAUUUGUGGAACCAGGUAGCAGGUAACGCCUGUCGUAGGUAACUAUAGAGGUGCGAGCAGUGACGUCGGCGGCGAAAGCCAAUGAAUUCCUUUGGGAAUAAUCCAGUGGUAACACUGGGGUGAAACGGCAAAAUCCUUAUCCGAGUGCAAGGCCGAGCUACGUUUAUCGUAGAGUGCCGCUACAGGUGAUUGGCGACAAUCAUCGCAGACACAUACUUGUGCAUCCGUAUCUUAUGGAUACGGGGGACAAAAUUCGGCUUAUUAGUAGAGACCAGCU
RNAcentral lists this non-coding RNA (349 nucleotides) under Candidatus Nomurabacteria bacterium. The record is from RNAcentral. Lineage: Bacteria; Candidatus Nomuraibacteriota.